Molecule: ribosomal RNA, 253 nt
Filed under: uncultured bacterium
Lineage: Bacteria
Description: partial 16S ribosomal RNA
Rfam family: Bacterial small subunit ribosomal RNA
Source: RNAcentral
UACAGAGGGUGCGAGCGUUAAUCGGAAUAACUGGGCGUAAAGGGCGCGUAGGCGGUUGAUUAAGUGGUAGGUGAAAGCCCCGGGCUUAACCUGGGAAGUGCCUAUCAAACUGAUUAACUGGAGUGCAGGAGAGGGCGGUAGAAUUUCCGGUGUAGCGGUGAAAUGCGUAGAGAUCGGAAGGAAUGCCGGUGGCGAAGGCGACUGCCUGGCCUGACACUGACGCUGAGGCGCGAGAGCGUGGGGAGCGAACAGG